RNA transcript from Drosophila montana, 3683 nucleotides. RefSeq lists it as uncharacterized. NCBI's taxonomy places the organism in Eukaryota, Metazoa, Arthropoda, Insecta, Diptera, Drosophilidae. The record is from RefSeq and is a predicted model, not a curated record. The transcript has 6 exons.
CUCACAGCCGGAAAGACGUCGCUGGCGCAUGCGUCGUUAAGAAAACAAAAAUAUAAAUUUCGUUUCGAUUUCGUUGGUGGUUUCUAUUUUUCUGUUGCCACACAACGCGGACGAGAGUUACCGAGAAGUGCAGUCAGCGACGUGCGAAAAGUGGCUUACGCUUAUGAAUUGCUGACGUUAGCUGGGGAUUUCCAAUUGCGAGAAACACAAAAGGCCACUCUCCUCACACCUACUCUCACACACACACACACGCACACACAGCUCGGCAGCAGCAUGCAGUUUCGACAACAGCCGCAAAGUACUAUGCUAUGGAAAAUUGCAUUUCUAAUUAUCGCAUUAGUCGGCAACGUGUCGUGCAUAAGAAAUGGCGACGGAAAUGACGAGCAGAAACACAUUUCCGCAAAGCUGAAAAACUUUUUUCCCUCGGAGCCGCUGAUUGAAGUGAACGCCAUUGCUGCACAGUCCUCCCAGACGUCCGCACGGGUAACGAAUGGCGGUUUUCGACCCUCACAGAUGCUGGAAUUUACGCCCUCGGAUGUGAUGCACGGUGGCGUACAGCGUUAUCCGCCCAGUUAUCUGGAGCCCAACUAUAAGCAUCAAGUGCCCAGCUCCUUGGCCAGCCUCAAUCCGCAGCAGACGGCGAUGGACAAGCAGUUCUCCUUUCCAGACGAGACCCGACCACAACAGCAGACCUCCUUCCAUAGCUAUGCCAGCACCCAAAUACCCACCACACCGGUGGUCAGCUAUUUGGAUCCCUUUACACAGCAAAACUAUCGCUAUACGCCUACGCCCACGCCCACAGCCACACAGGCUACGCCCAUUUACAUUCAGUAUCAACGCGAACAGCCCGAGGAGCAGGGGGAUCAGGCCUACACGGUGCAAUCGUCGCUGCUCGUAGGCAACCACUCGCCGCAACAUUCACGCCCCGUUGCUGCGGACGAGGUGUAUCUGAAGCGACCCGGCUAUGUCUUCGAUGAGAGCCCCACGACGACCUAUCGCCGACCAGUGACAGCACCCACAGCAUCCACAGCGAAUAAAAUUUCAUACGAUUCGCAUGAUUACCCGCCGCCCAGCUAUGCCACACAGCAGACAUCCAAUUUUGUGCCACAGCAAUCCAAGCAGCAGCCACAGCCACAGCCUCAGCCACAGCCACAGCCACAGCGACUCCGAGAGCACCAUCGGCCGCCUUACAACCGCCAAGACGUCAAUGACAACCGACCAGCAUUGGCAGGCGGCUCAUCGAUAAAUGUGCCGCAGCCGCAAUACACGCAGUCGUCUAAUUAUGCAAACAACUUUGGUAAUUAUUUGCAGCGACCACCCAGUUACCCUGCCAACUCCCACUCGCAAUCGCAGUCGGAAUACAACCCCACGCACUAUCAGUACGAGCCGCUGCCUCAGCGACCACUGUCUCAGCAGCAGCAGCGACCGGGACCCAAUUACUAUGAGUAUCAAAUUGGCGAGAUACCACCCCAGCCGCAGUUCAGUUAUCGUCCUGGUCCGCCGCCUGGCUAUCGACCGCCUUACCAGCAACCAGCGGCAGCAGCAGGGGCUGGAGCUGGAGCUGGUGGCCUGGCCACUCUAGCGUCGCUGCUGAGCUCGACGCAACAAUAUGCGCCACAGUUUACAAAUCUGCUUUUGGGCGGUGGCGGUGGCGGUGGCGGUGGUGCAGCAUCCUCCUCUUCCUCCAGCAGCAGCCCAUUAGGCAGUCUCUUAGGCGCUUUCGCCGGCACACAAGGCACGGGGCAGCACGCCCGACCGCCCAACACACAACUCAUUAGAGCCCUGGAGAACAUCGCACGCAACGACGAUUUGCAGUGUGUGCCCAAGGUGCUCUGCCAGAUGAUUGCCGGUCAAACGUUACGUGGCCAACUGCCAGGCUUCAUUACAUCGCCGGCCAUAACCAACUUCUUGGCUGGCUUCCCAGUCGCCUCGCCAGCACUCAUUUAUGGACGCGCAGCACUGCUUGGAAUUAGCGGGGGCGAACGAAGCUGUUUUCAGACCUAUGAAAAGUGCCCAAAGAAUGAGAUGGAAAUCAUUCACUAUCUGAACAAUCAUCGCGGCGGGUUUUUUAAGUUCUUCAGCGAGCCGGAAGAGCAACCAGCUGUAGCACAACAAAGCGAAUCUGGCGGAGGCUCAUUGUUCAGCAUACUCGCAGCGCUGACGGGCGGCGGGCAGGAGCAGGGGCUGGGCCAGGUGACGCGCACAACGCCUCGGCCUAGGCCGCGACCCACACAAAGACCCAGUACGGACAUUGCCGAUGGCAUCGGCAGCUUCUUCACCCGAGUGCUGUCCGAGUAUUUAAGCGGCGUGGAGUACCAAAGACGUCGCAGAAGGAGAAGGAGUCUGUUGCCAACGGAAAUUAAACGCAACAUUCAGGCGGAUAAUGGCCGCUUGAUGCCCGUUGAUUUUCAUGAUGAAGAAGAUGACUUGGAUACCCAGACACCAGUCAAGUUUCAAGAUGAUGACGAGGCUGAGGCAGCCCAGGCACACACCGAGCUGAUAGGUGUGCUGCAAUUUCCCGAAGACCAGGCUGAGGGCGAGGGUCGCAUACUGCACUUCAAAAACGAAGAAGGAGCUGAGCAUCAUGACAACGGAGUUGUGCGAUUUCCGGAUGCCACGCCGGAAGCUCUGCGCGACAGCGAGCGAAAAGUUAUCUACGAAUUCAAUCGAGAUGCAGCUCAACGUAAAUUGAGAUUUCCCCAAGACCAAAGCGAAGGCGAGCGGCAGGCUAAGAAGUUGCAACUGGCCGAGGGUUGGACAGCUGUGCUGCCCAAUGGACUUGGCGAGGAAGACUACGGCGUGGAGAAGAGGCGUGGCAAGCGAAUUGUUUUUAAGGAUACCAAUGAGGAGCUCGAGGAGUUUGAUAAGCUGCUUAGAGAAGAGCAAGUGCAGGAGUACAGGGAAGAGGAGGAACGGUUUAGAGAACAACAGUUUAGAGAGGAACAACAAAGAGAACAGCAUACACCACCAAAUGCUGUAUAUGAGGAUGCAGCACCACCUCAACGCGGCGCCAGAGUCCUUUUUCCCGAUCAUUACGAGCGUCAUAUUCGCAGAGGUAAGAUCCUAAACCGACCCACCUAUGCGCCCAGCUAUGAGUACAAUGAUAGGGGCGAAGAGAAAGAGCAACGUUUGGUGGUCAGUGAUGAGCAUAGACCGAGUUCCUAUUAUCGCCUGGAGACGGAGACAUCAUCAGACUAUCAGACAAGUCACAGUCAAAGUUUUAUGAACUAUGGCGAAUACCUGCCGGGAAAUACCGUGCGGUUCGUCGAGUCGAAUGACAGACCCAGCUAUAAUGCACAGUACAACUAUCCGAAUGCGAACUAUAUAAGCAACAACCGAUAUAGCAGCACUUAUCAGACUACCUCGACAAGGAGACCCAAACACGAGGAUGAUAGAAAUAUAUAUGUGACUAAUUCACAAGGUGUGACCGAGUAUUACAUAAGGCCCGACGGGCGCAAGGUGUAUCUGGGCAGCGGUUGAAUUUCCAGAGUGUAUAUACGUCAGACGAGAGGCAAGUUCCCAUUAGUUUUAGAUGCUUCAGUCACAGAGACAGCAACAAAUCAACAAGUAUUUCAAGCAAAUGAAAUAUGCAAAAGAAAUGGCACAUAAAUCUAGCGACAAACGGCGUCAUCGCGGGGAAUACGUUUGAAAAAUUAAAUGUGAUAAACCGAGGGACACCAGGG